Molecule: long non-coding RNA, 559 nt
Organism: Gymnodraco acuticeps
Lineage: Eukaryota; Metazoa; Chordata; Actinopteri; Perciformes; Bathydraconidae
Exons: 3
Source: RefSeq, a predicted model, not a curated record
UUGAGACACAUUGCGGCUCGCCUCGAAAGUAGACGAGAGUAGCCGAUCGCAGCCGGGGGAGGUGUCAAAAAGCUCGUCUUAAGUCGGACAGCUCGGAGUCGGAGUCGGCUUGACUGGCUGGGUUUGCAAUGGCGGAAAUUGCGUUGGCGUUUUUCGUUACAGAUGAAGUGGAUGCAAUAGAAAUCCCACAUGUAUUGUAUGGAGAAUGGCAUGAUGAACACCGUCUGCGGAGAUCCGUUCCAAAGGUCCAACAAUUUGUGGAAGAAGUGGUCCCACAGUACAGUCCUUCAGACUUCAAAAGUCAUUUCCGAUUGUCCAGGGGACAUGUGGAAGAUGUGAUGACGACUAUUGGCCCGUUCUACUGGAACAGACAGCACAGUAAAGUGCCGCUUCAAAACAGUGUUCUUGCCUGUCUGUGGACUCUAUCAAACCAGGAGUCCUAUAGGGGGGUUGCUGAUCGUUUCAAUAUCACCAAAUCCACUGUCUGCCUGCAUCUGCAUGAAUUCUGUAGUCUUGUCACCACAUAUUUGUCUCACCACAUUUCCUGGCCCACAGGGCA